This is a long non-coding RNA of Bubalus bubalis (water buffalo), 1159 nucleotides long. RefSeq lists it as uncharacterized. The transcript has 3 exons. The record is from RefSeq and is a predicted model, not a curated record. Lineage: Eukaryota; Metazoa; Chordata; Mammalia; Artiodactyla; Bovidae.
GGCAAUGGCUAUGCCUCCUUUGAGGUUGAAAGACCACCCUGGUCCCAUUGGCAACAUUAGGUCAAAAUCUAUCACUUGUCCACUGAGUAGUGUCUGCGUUUGGGGCAAGUAAUGGUAAUUUGCAAGAUAACAGCAGCUUGAUGUUUGCAAUUCUGGUGAAGAAAAAUAUUAGCUGAACUCACUGUGUGUUUCUUUUUGAGCAAUACCAGUCUUUGCUCUGAAGAGAAAUUAUGAGUUUGAGAAAGAGUUCAGAAAUAUCUCAGAGCCAUGAUGUAAGUUAAACAAAAUGUGCUUGCAUUAGUGAAUCGUGGCCCUGAUUUGUUAGCCUUCUUUGAAUUUCUCUGAUCCGGGGCACUUACUGUACCUGGUUGCAGCUGAAUACAGAUAUUGACAGAGACCUCUGAGAGGAGAAACCAAGAUCAUUUAUGACUAUGUCCUCAUUAGGAUCUCAAAUUUCACGGGCACCACAAGGCUACCCCAGCUCAGAUUUAAUCAGCAGCAGACACCCAUCAGAAGGAAGGAAGGUCCAUCCCUGCCCCCAAUGUCUAUUUGCUCCAAGAGCCAGGCCUGCAGAUGUGAAGAGGAGUCACCAUUCCAGCAGUGCCACUGAUGCCACUGAUACUACGCGUGUCAGAGACCAUAUUCACACGUUUACUAGUGCACUCUGAAUCAGGACUCCAGCUGGGAAGUAAUUCCCAAACCUAUGUCGCCGGACAUUGUUAAGUACACUCCCAUGAUCCGAUUCUUCAUCAGCAGGAGUCUCCAUUCUGAAAUAUCAUGAUAUCCCUUAUACAUGGAAUCCAAAAAGAAAUGAAACAAUGAACAACACCGAAACAGACUCAGACAUAGAGAACCAGCUUAUGGUUGCCAGGGGGAAGGGCUGGGGGAAGAGACAGGGAAUUUGGGAUAAACAUGUGUGCACUGCUAUAUUUAAUAUGGAUACCAACAAGGACCUAUUGUCCAGAGCACAGGGAACUCUGUUCAAUGUUAUAUGACAGCCUGGAGGGGAGGGUUGUUUGGGAGAGAAUUGAUAGCUGUAUAUGUAUGACUGAGUCCCUUUGCUGUUCAUUUGAAACAAUCACAGCAUUGUUAAUCAUCUGUAUUCCAAUAUAAAAUAAUUUUUUUUAAAAAAAGACUUGGAAAAAAAUAGGAAUCUGUA